This 371-nucleotide ribosomal RNA is filed under the name uncultured organism. Its description in RNAcentral is "bacterial SSU rRNA". It matches the Rfam family "Bacterial small subunit ribosomal RNA", at positions 526 to 896 of the family's 1533-position model. The record is from RNAcentral.
CAGAGGGUGCGAGCGUUAAUCGGAAUUACUGGGCGUAAAGCGUGCGUAGACGGUUAUUUAAGCCGGGUGUGAAAGCCCCGGGCUCAACCUGGGAAUUGCAUUCGAGACUGAAUAGCUAGGGUACGGUAGAGGGAAGUGGAAUUUCCGGUGUAGCGGUGAAAUGCGUAGAUAUCGGAAGGAACAUCAGUGGCGAAAGCGACUUCCUGGACCAGUACCGACGUUCAGGCACGAAAGCGUGGGGAGCAAACAGGAUUAGAUACCCUGGUAGUCCACGCCAUAAACGAUGAGGACUAGACGUUGGAGGGGUAAGCCUUUCAGUGUCGUAGCUAACGCGCUAAGUCCUCCGCCUGGGGAGUACGGCCGCAAGGUUG